UUGAAAGAUGGCAUCAUCAUUCAACCAAAGGAGCAAUCCGCUAUGAGAUGGACCCGCGGCGCAUUAGCUAGUUGGUGGGGUAACGGCCUACCAAGGCGACGAUGCGUAGCCGACCUGAGAGGGUGAUCGGCCACAUUGGGACUGAGACACGGCCCAGACUCCUACGGGAGGCAGCAGUGGGGAAUAUUGCACAAUGGGGGAAACCCUGAUGCAGCAACGCCGCGUGAGUGAUGAAGGUUUUCGGAUCGUAAAACUCUGUCUUUGGGGAAGAUAAUGACGUACCCAAGAGAAGUMCGRWYUUG
Molecule: ribosomal RNA, 302 nt
Filed under: uncultured bacterium
Lineage: Bacteria
Description: bacterial SSU rRNA
Rfam family: Bacterial small subunit ribosomal RNA
Source: RNAcentral